This 507-nucleotide ribosomal RNA is filed under the name uncultured Glomus. RNAcentral's name for it is "SSU rRNA". It matches the Rfam family "Eukaryotic small subunit ribosomal RNA", at positions 569 to 1078 of the family's 1831-position model. The record is from RNAcentral. Lineage: Eukaryota; Fungi; Glomeromycota; Glomeromycetes; Glomerales; Glomeraceae.
AGCAGCCGCGGUAAUUCCAGCUCCAAUAGCGUAUAUUAAAGUUGUUGCAGUUAAAAAGCUCGUAGUUGAAUUUCGGGAUCAAAUUGUCGGUCGUGCCUCGGUACGCACUGGUAUUAUUGGUUCCUACCUUCUGAAGAACCGCGAUGUCAUUAAUUUGGUGUCGUGGGGAAUCAGGACUGUUACUUUGAAAAAAUUAGAGUGUUUAAAGCAGGCUUACGCUUGAAUACAUUAGCAUGGAAUAAUGAAAUAGGACGUUUGAUUCUAUUUUGUUGGUUUCUAGGGUUGACGUAAUGAUUAAUAGGGAUAGUUGGGGGCAUUAGUAUUCAAUUGUCAGAGGUGAAAUUCUUGGAUUUAUUGAAGACUAACUACUGCGAAAGCAUUUGCCAAGGAUGUUUUCAUUAAUCAAGAACGAAAGUUAGGGGAUCGAAGACGAUCAGAUACCGUCGUAGUCUUAACCAUAAACUAUGCCGACUAGGGAUCGGAUGAUGUUAAUUUUUUAAUGACUCA